GCAGGCCUAACACAUGCAAGUCGAGCGGUAGCACAGAGAGCUUGCUCUCGGGUGACGAGCGGCGGACGGGUGAGUAAUGUCUGGGAAACUGCCUGAUGGAGGGGGAUAACUACUGGAAACGGUAGCUAAUACCGCAUAACGUCGCAAGACCAAAGUGGGGGACCUUCGGGCCUCAUGCCAUCAGAUGUGCCCAGAUGGGAUUAGCUAGUAGGUGGGGUAACGGCUCACCUAGGCGACGAUCCCUAGCUGGUCUGAGAGGAUGACCAGCCACACUGGAACUGAGACACGGUCCAGACUCCUACGGGAGGCAGCAGUGGGGAAUAUUGCACAAUGGGCGCAAGCCUGAUGCAGCCAUGCCGCGUGUGUGAAGAAGGCCUUCGGGUUGUAAAGCACUUUCAGCGGGGAGGAAGGCGUUAAGGUUAAUAACCUUGGCGAUUGACGUUACCCGCAGAAGAAGCACCGGCUAACUCCGUGCCAGCAGCCGCGGUAAUACGGAGGGUGCAAGCGUUAAUCGGAAUUACUGGGCGUAAAGCGCACGCAGGCGGUCUGUCAAGUCGGAUGUGAAAUCCCCGGGCUCAACCUGGGAACUGCAUUCGAAACUGGCAGGCUAGAGUCUUGUAGAGGGGGGUAGAAUUCCAGGUGUAGCGGUGAAAUGCGUAGAGAUCUGGAGGAAUACCGGUGGCGAAGGCGGCCCCCUGGACAAAGACUGACGCUCAGGUGCGAAAGCGUGGGGAGCAAACAGGAUUAGAUACCCUGGUAGUCCACGCCGUAAACGAUGUCGAUUUGGAGGUUGUGCCCUUGAGGCGUGGCUUCCGGAGCUAACGCGUUAAAUCGACCGCCUGGGGAGUACGGCCGCAAGGUUAAAACUCAAAUGAAUUGACGGGGGCCCGCACAAGCGGUGGAGCAUGUGGUUUAAUUCGAUGCAACGCGAAGAACCUUACCUGGUCUUGACAUCCACAGAACUUUCCAGAGAUGGAUUGGUGCCUUCGGGAACUGUGAGACAGGUGCUGCAUGGCUGUCGUCAGCUCGUGUUGUGAAAUGUUGGGUUAAGUCCCGCAACGAGCGCAACCCUUAUCCUUUGUUGCCAGCGGUCCGGCCGGGAACUCAAAGGAGACUGCCAGUGAUAAACUGGAGGAAGGUGGGGAUGACGUCAAGUCAUCAUGGCCCUUACGACCAGGGCUACACACGUGCUACAAUGGCAUAUACAAAGAGAAGCGACCUCGCGAGAGCAAGCGGACCUCAUAAAGUAUGUCGUAGUCCGGAUUGGAGUCUGCAACUCGACUCCAUGAAGUCGGAAUCGCUAGUAAUCGUAGAUCAGAAUGCUACGGUGAAUACGUUCCCGGGCCUUGUACAC
Molecule: ribosomal RNA, 1354 nt
Filed under: uncultured bacterium
Lineage: Bacteria
Description: bacterial SSU rRNA
Rfam family: Bacterial small subunit ribosomal RNA
Source: RNAcentral